This 460-nucleotide ribosomal RNA is filed under the name uncultured bacterium. Its description in RNAcentral is "partial 16S ribosomal RNA". It matches the Rfam family "Bacterial small subunit ribosomal RNA", at positions 338 to 795 of the family's 1533-position model. The record is from RNAcentral.
CCUACGGGAGGCAGCAGUGAGGAAUAUUGGUCAAUGGACGAGAGUCUGAACCAGCCAAGUAGCGUGAAGGAUGACUGCCCUAUGGGUUGUAAACUUCUUUUAUAUGGGAAUAAAAUGUUGCACGUGUGGGAUUUUGUAUGUACUAUAUGAAUAAGGAUCGGCUAACUCCGUGCCAGCAGCCGCGGUAAUACGGAGGAUCCGAGCGUUAUCCGGAUUUAUUGGGUUUAAAGGGAGCGUAGGUGGAUUGUUAAGUCAGUUGUGAAAGUUUGCGGCUCAACCGUAAAAUUGCAGUUGAAACUGGCAGUCUUGAGUACAGUAGAGGUGGGCGGAAUUCGUGGUGUAGCGGUGAAAUGCUUAGAUAUCACGAAGAACUCCGAUUGCGAAGGCAGUUCACUGGACUGCAACUGACACUGAGGCUCGAAAGUGUGGGUAUCAAACAGGAUUAGAUACCCCAGUAGUC